UGGUGGGUAGUUUGACUGGGGCGGUCUCCUCCUAAAGAGUAACGGAGGAGCACGAAGGUUAGCUAAUCCUGGUCGGACAUCAGGAGGUUAGUGCAAAGGCAUAAGCUAGCUUGACUGCGAGAGUGACGGCUCGAGCAGGUGCGAAAGCAGGUCUUAGUGAUCCGGUGGUUCUGAAUGGAAGGGCCAUCGCUCAACGGAUAAAAGGUACUCCGGGGAUAACAGGCUGAUACCGCCCAAGAGUUCAUAUCGACGGCGGUGUUUGGCACCUCGAUGUCGGCUCAUCACAUCCUGGGGCUGAAGUAGGUCCCAAGGGUAUGGCUGUUCGCCAUUUAAAGUGGUACGCGAGCUGGGUUUAGAACGUCGUGAGACAGUUCGGUCCCUAUCUGCCGUGGGCGCUGGAGAAUUGAGGGGGGCUGCUCCUAGUACGAGAGGACCGGAGUGGACGCAUCACUGGUGUUCGGGUUGUCAUGCCAAUGGCAUUGCCCGGUAGCUAAAUGCGGAAGAGAUAAGUGCUGAAAGCAUCUAAGCACGAAACUUGCCCCGAGAUGAGUUCUCCCUGACCCUUUAAGGG
Molecule: ribosomal RNA, 571 nt
Filed under: Citrobacter braakii
Lineage: Bacteria; Pseudomonadati; Pseudomonadota; Gammaproteobacteria; Enterobacterales; Enterobacteriaceae
Description: partial 23S ribosomal RNA
Rfam family: Bacterial large subunit ribosomal RNA
Source: RNAcentral